This 252-nucleotide ribosomal RNA is filed under the name uncultured bacterium. RNAcentral describes it as "partial 16S ribosomal RNA". It matches the Rfam family "Bacterial small subunit ribosomal RNA", at positions 524 to 776 of the family's 1533-position model. The record is from RNAcentral.
UACAUAGGGGGCAAGCGUUAUCCGGAAUUAUUGGGCAUAAAGGGUGCGUAGGCGGUAUGUUAAGUUUAAGGUAUAAGCUCAUGGCUCAACCAUGGGAGGCUUUAGAAACUGGCAUGCUAGAGUGCAGUAGAGGCAAGUGGAAUUCCAUGUGUAGCGGUAAAAUGCGUAAAUAUAUGGAGGAACACCAGUAGCGAAGGCGGCUUGCUGGGCUGUAACUGACGCUGAGGCACGAAAGCGUGGGGAGCAAACAGG